UAGUCCCGCCCAUCUUGUUCUUUGUUCUGUUGACUCGCAUUACCAUUGAUGACUACGCCUUUGUAACUCCUAGCUCUGUCGUCGUGUCUUACCCCAUCUGGCCAUCCCCCAUUGCCCUCUCUGAUCUCCUGCUUUCUCUCCGGACUAGCCUUUGUAUUCUUCUUCUCUAGCGGACACUUCUCUUCCUUAUGACACAGGCUAGAACAAAGCUGGCAAUAACCAAAUAGUUUUUCAUAUCGCAAAGAGAUCGCCACCUCCUCACCAUCAUAAAACUC
RNAcentral lists this long non-coding RNA (275 nucleotides) under Brassica napus (rape). RNAcentral describes it as "long non-coding RNA (BNAP_LNC011905)". Lineage: Eukaryota; Viridiplantae; Streptophyta; Magnoliopsida; Brassicales; Brassicaceae. The record is from RNAcentral.